AGAGAGAGACAUGCGCGCAUAUCAAUAAGCGGAGGAAAAGAAACUAACAAGGAUUCCCUUAGUAACGGCGAGUGAAGCGGGAAGAGCUCAAAUUUGAAAUCUUCAAGGGUUUACCUUUACGAAUUGUAGUUUAAAGAAGUGUUUUCUGUUGGAUGUUUUGGUAGAAGUUCUUUGGAAUAGGACAUCAUAGAGGGUGAGAAUCCCGUAUUUGAUCACUACUUCCUAGCGUUGUGAUACACUUUCAACGAGUCGGAUUGUUUGGGAAUGCAGUCCAAAAUGGGUGGUAAAUUUCAUCUAAAGCUAAAUAUUGGCGAGAGACCGAUAGCGAACAAGUACCGUAAGGGAAAGAUGAAAAGAACUUUGAAAAGAGAGUUAAACAGUACGUGAAAUUGUCAAAAGGGAAGCGUUUGACACCAGUGUUGUUUUUCCGAAAAUCAAUUACGAAUGUUUUGUUUUUGAGGAGUUAUGACUUCAUCGGCUUGCUCCUUUCUUUACGAAACUUUCUUAAUGCACUUUUCGGUUAACAAGUCAACAUCAAUUUCUUUUGUUGUAAAAGGGUAUGAGGAAGGUGGCUUUCUUUUCGGAGAAAGUGUUUAUAGCCUUGUACCUCUGCAAUCGGAGAGAUUGAGGUCUGCAGCGUAGAUCCUUCGGGGCUAGAUACAUUUGUGCUAAGUUAUAGCUUUUCAUAGACAACUUGCUGACUAUGUUUAGUCUUGUAGCUUACUCGCUUACUGCUAUUUUACCUACGCUUAGGAUGUUGAUAGUCACGAGCGUGUAC
Molecule: ribosomal RNA, 778 nt
Filed under: uncultured Neocallimastigales
Lineage: Eukaryota; Fungi; Neocallimastigomycota; Neocallimastigomycetes; Neocallimastigales
Description: partial large subunit ribosomal RNA
Rfam family: Eukaryotic large subunit ribosomal RNA
Source: RNAcentral